This 253-nucleotide ribosomal RNA is filed under the name uncultured bacterium. Its description in RNAcentral is "partial 16S ribosomal RNA". It matches the Rfam family "Bacterial small subunit ribosomal RNA", at positions 524 to 776 of the family's 1533-position model. The record is from RNAcentral.
UACAGAGGGUGCGAGCGUUAAUCGGAAUUACUGGGCGUAAAGCGCACGUAGGCGGCUUGGUAUGUCGGGUGUGAAAUCCCCGGGCUCAACCUGGGAACUGCAUCCGAAACUGCCUCGCUCGAGUAUGGGAGAGGGAAGUGGAAUUUCCGGUGUAGCGGUGAAAUGCGUAGAUAUCGGAAGGAACAUCAGUGGCGAAGGCGACUUCCUGGACCAAUACUGACGCUCAGGUGCGAAAGCGUGGGGAGCAAACAGG